UAACGACUCUCGGCAACGGAUAUCUCGGCUCUCGCAUCGAUGAAGAACGUAGCGAAAUGCGAUACUUGGUGUGAAUUGCAGAAUCCCGUGAACCAUCGAGUCUUUGAACGCAAGUUGCGCCCCAAGCCUUUUUGGUGGAGGGCAYGUCUGCCUGGGUGUCACG
RNAcentral lists this ribosomal RNA (163 nucleotides) under Flindersia dissosperma. RNAcentral's name for it is "5.8S ribosomal RNA". The record is from RNAcentral. Lineage: Eukaryota; Viridiplantae; Streptophyta; Magnoliopsida; Sapindales; Rutaceae.